This is an RNA transcript of Camellia sinensis, 1609 nucleotides long. It is a transcript of the gene named biotin--protein ligase 2, with no coding region annotated. The record is from RefSeq and is a predicted model, not a curated record. NCBI's taxonomy places the organism in Eukaryota, Viridiplantae, Streptophyta, Magnoliopsida, Ericales, Theaceae.
UGCAUAUAAUUAUAUAUGCCCUUCGCCAGCCUCCGCGGCUUUCUCUCUCUUCAAACUCCGCUCCAAUUUCUUCCUCAUCUCUCUCCACCAACACUCCUCUCAACUCGUACGAAGCAGCCUCUCUGCCUAUCUGUAUCAUUUGCUGCCUCAGCUAUGGAUUCACAAUCGCCUUGUCUUCUGGUAUUAUUUGGAAAAUCAUCUACUGAGAAGGAAUUGGCUAAAUCAUUGAAGGACAAUAACAGUCUGAAACUCCCUGACAAUGACAAAUUUUCGAUUCUUUUGCACUCAGAGACUAGAAUUCCUGUUGAAGAAAAUUGUUUUCGGAACAAUUCAUUUUUGAAUUGUCUUUCAACUACUCGCUUUGGAAGAUUCUUGAUUUGGUCUCCGCAGUUGCCAUCAACUCAUGAUGCUGUUUCCCACAAUUUCGGCGAGCUUCCUAUUGGUGCGGUGUGUGUUGCUGAUGUUCAGUUCAAAGGGCGAGGUCGGUCAAAGAAUGUGUGGGAAUCUCCAAGGGGCUGCCUUCUGUUUUCAUAUACUAUACAAAUGGAAGAUGGCCGAGUGGUGCCUAUUGUACAGUAUGUAGUGUCUCUUGCCAUGACAGAGGCAAUUAAGGAUGUUUGUCAUAAAAAUGGCAUACCACAUCUUGAUGUUAGAAUAAAGUGGCCAAAUGAUCUGUACUUGGAUGGCCUUAAAGUUGGAGGCAUUUUGUGCACAUCAACUUAUAAAUCAAAGAAGUUUAAUAUCAGUGCCGGAAUAGGCUUGAAUAUUGACAAUGAAAAGCCUACAACAUGCUUGAAUGCAGUGUUGCAAAAAUUGACUUCUGUUACAUACCGACUACAGAGAGAAGAUAUUCUUGCAGCCUUCUUUAAUAAAUUUGAGACUCUUUUUGAUCUUUUCAUCGAUAAAGGGUUUCAACCUCUUGAGCAGCUGUACUAUGAGACAUGGCUACACAGUGGGCAGAGAGUUAUUGUACAGGAAAAGGACGAGGAUCGAUUUGUUGAAAAAACAGUUACUAUUCAGGGCUUAACGUCUUCAGGAUAUUUAUUAGCCGUUGGUGAAGACGGUCAAAUGUGUGAGCUUCAUCCAGAUGGCAAUAGUGUCAUUUUCUGGUCUUCCAUGAGCCCAAUAUUUUCAAAACCGGACUGGAUAGAUCAUUCUAGCUUCCUGUUUGGGAACAGCGCAUGAGCCGACCACGUUUGUCCUCCUUUAACCAGAGGGUUCCCAGGUGGGGUUUCAGUUGCCAUUUUUGAAAAGAGAAUACCUGGAUUGGACCAGUUAUUUAUGUCCCUUUGGGCUUGUUGUUUUCAGAGUUUUGACUUCUUCAAAGGGCUAGUGAGGAGAAAAUUGACCUAAAGUAGGUUUGACGAGGCAACAAUCAUACUUCACCAAGUGCAUACUGAGGAUAUGUAUUUUCUUUUCCUUUUCAUUUUUGCUUAGAUACAUGAUCAAUUUAUUAGGUCAUUUAGUUGUGUUUGGUUGAAGAGAUUUGAGAAGGAAUUUAAAAAAGAAAAGGAAAAAGGUAUAUGAAAUUAAGUAAAAUGUAAGUAUAUUUUAUAUUCUGAGUCAAAUGAGAUCUGGGUCAAACUCAAUCAAGCCUGUCUUUUAUUUA